AGGAAGUUGUAAAGCAGUGCCCCGCCAUCCAAGAUUUCCGGGAGAGAUGGCCUGCUCUUUUCUCUGAAGCUCAGAUCAAGGAGGAAUUCAAAAAUAUCACAACGGUUCCCUUGAAAAUAACUUUUCUUACUAAGCUGGACUUCUACACUCCAAAAAUGCAGGAGAUAUUCAGCAAAAAAGGCGGAGUAGCUGGGACCAAAAUACGACCACCUCUGGAUUCACUCAGCCAGAUACCUUGACCAGGGCAUAACCGAUUAUCUUCACCUAAGAGACCUACUGUUGGACAAUCGUUUUGGAUUUAAAGAAUCUUGGCAAGACGCGAUGAGAUAUUUGGUGCGCUUCCAAACAGGUUCCAGCGUUGAAACGACGGACGAUGACAAGAAGGGAAAGCGAAAG
Molecule: long non-coding RNA, 396 nt
Organism: Esox lucius (northern pike)
Lineage: Eukaryota; Metazoa; Chordata; Actinopteri; Esociformes; Esocidae
Exons: 4
Source: RefSeq, a predicted model, not a curated record